GACGAACGCUGGCGGCGUGCCUAACACAUGCAAGUCGAGCGGGGACUUAAUCAUGAAGUUUUCGGAUGGAUUGGUUAAGUUCUAGCGGCGGACGGGUGAGUAACGCGUGAGUAACCUGCCUAUCACUGGGGAAUAACGCAGCGAAAGUUGUGCUAAUACCGCAUGAGACCACAGAGGGACAUCCCUUAGGGGUCAAAGGAGCAAUCCGGUUUGAGAUGGGCUCGCGUCCGAUUAGCUAGUUGGUGAGAUAACAGCCCACCAAGGCGACGAUCGGUAGCCGACCUGAGAGGGUGAUCGGCCACAUUGGAACUGAGAAACGGUCCAGACUCCUACGGGAGGCAGCAGUGGGGAAUAUUGGGGCAAUGGGCGAAAGCCUGACCCAGCAACGCCGCGUGAGGGAAGAAGGGUUUCGGCUCGUAAACCUCUGUCCUAUAGGACGAAGGAAGUGACGGUACUAUAGGAGGAAGCCCCGGCGUAACUACGUG
RNAcentral lists this ribosomal RNA (485 nucleotides) under uncultured bacterium. Its description in RNAcentral is "bacterial SSU rRNA". It matches the Rfam family "Bacterial small subunit ribosomal RNA", at positions 28 to 507 of the family's 1533-position model. The record is from RNAcentral.